ACGGGAGGUCGGGGUAACGGAGGAAAGGAAAUGAAAAUCCGAUAUGUCUUUAUUCUGCUAAUUAUUAUCGUUUUAGCCCUGUUUAAAAAAAUGGCUGAUUAAGUUGAGUGCGCAUGUCUUUGUGUGUCUAUUUCCCGAUAUGCACUCUGGGAAUGGGUAGAGAGACAGAGAGAGAGAGAGGGCGAAUGGGAGAGAGAGAGAAAUGGGAGAGAGAGAGAGAGGGGAGAGAGAGAGGGGAGAGGGAGGGGGCAAAAAAAAAAAAAAAGAGGAGACGGAGAGGGAGGGAGAGAGGAGAGAAGUGUAAUUAGUGAGUUGAUCAACAGUCUCCACAUUGCAAAUGACGCGCACACGGAGCCCUGGCGGCCGCAGAGGUCCAUGCGCUCUGAAAAUCCCUUCUGUUGCCGUUUCUCUCUGAGGGGCCAAAUCACAUGCAGAACAAUGGACAAUCGCCUCCCACUAAUACUAAUAAUAACCACCUAAUACUAAAAGUCCAUUUCCCCCUUUUAUUCUGAGGACGAACUUUUAAAAACACGUCUUUUUUUUAAAUAGGUUUAUUUAAUUCUAAGAAUACAGAUUGCCUUUAAAGUUGGCGCGUGUUGUUUGUCGUGCAUCAUAUCAGCUUGAUUUUUAUUGAUUACGACGCCACAGGUGAAUUAUACGCGCACGAUGAGAGUUUGGCUCUUUUUUUUCUUUGUAGAUCAUGUGAAGGUUUCUUUUUAAAUAAAAUAACAAUAAAGUCUUAUAGACGUUCCUACUUGAAUGACUUUAUAGCAUUUUCUGAAAUCGGACGUUUUUUUCCCCCUCCUGAAAUAAAAGGGAUAAUGUGAGUGAAGGCAGGAGGAAAAAAGCGAAUCAGUAAAACUGGCCUGUAACCGCGCAUCAACACCUGAAUACGUUACAAAAACGCGUGUUUUUUUCUAGAGUUAUGCCUCAAUCUAAAAAAAAAAAUGCACUUCUUGUGUUAUAAAAGUGACGAUGUUGUGUAAAUUCUACAUUAAAGCUUGAAAGAAAAGAAAAGAAAAAAAUAAAACAAUCAAAGCCACCGAGCUUCCCAGUAAUCCACCAUGUCUGAAAGCCGUCUUCUGCCCUUUUUCUGGACCGCUGAGGCCCCGUGUGGGUUCAAUAGAGUCAAAUUGAAAAAGAUCCAAUACAGGGUCACCAAAGAAAAAAAAAUCCCCUUCCAUGUUCAAAGCCCGGUUUACAUUUACUGUUCUCACAAAGUGACCCGCUCAUUUGACCGUAUUUUCUUUUUCAAUGCAAACCGAUUAUUGUGUUCCCCCCAUCGGGUCCCUUCACAGAGGCUUUUUUUUGGGGGGUUUGUAGAGGAAGACUUUCCACAUUCUGAGACGCAAGAGAAAAUCAAGAGAUCUUGUUCGCCUUCAUGGGGGAAGAAAAAAAAAUCGAAGCUGGGGGUGAAUUGAACUGCAUGAGCCGGGACUUGGGAUGUGAUGAUAAGGCUGCUGCUGCUGGCAAGUGGAGUGCUAGGGUCUGCUUUGCAAGCCACAUUGACUGCACAGCACUUACACCAACUGGAUCCUUAAGAAGCCAACAGAUCCGAGCCCGACCCGACCCCAGGCUGUUUAUUCUGGGUUUAGAGAGGUCUCUGACAAAGAGGGGAGGGUGGGUCGAGGUGAUGAACGGAGGCGUCACUUUCCACCCGGAUCCAAGGCGCUUGCUGCUGCUGCUGCUGCCGUGGCUGCUGCUGCUGCUGCUGCUGCAGCUGCUUCCCUGUCCUCCAGGGGGAUUUUUCUAGUCCGCCAGCCCUGGGAGGCGUCGCUCACUGACGGCUUGGAGAGUCGAGUCGACCCCGCUGCUGCAGCGAAACGCGCACAAGAGUCCACAGGGACCUCGCGUGCGCUUUCCCAAAGCUGCAGGAAAAAGGAUCUUUUUUUUUUUUUUUUAGAUAUAUAAUUUGCGACUUUACAUCACCUAAACGGAGGACUUUACACAAAUCGGAGUGAUUGUGUGUGCUUUUUUCUACAUUUCUGGGAGGGGAUGUGCUUUUCCCCAUACUUUCUAGUGAUAAACUUGGUGCGCUCAGUCCACAUUUUCUGCAGAGAUGCGUUUGUUAUUUUUGCUUGUUUCCUCCGAGAAAAUGAGAAAGUGCAAAGCGGAUUUAGACGGCUGAUAUAGACUAGCGCUUAUCUUAACCUCUUGCGUUCUUUUUUUUUUUUUUUUUUUUUGUAAAUCACCCCCUUACCCUCCCCCGUCUCCUCCCACCCUCUCUCCCGGCAGACGAUGCUCUUUCUCCGGACGCAGCUUGACAAUGGGGGCACGUUAACUAAUAUUUUGCUCCAUUUCCAUAUCAGCGCGAUCCUCAAUUAAUUAUAGAUUUUAUCAGUAAACUCCCUCAUCUGUGAGUGUGUGUGUGUGUGUGUGAGUGUGUGUGUGUGAGAGAGAGAGAGGGUGAGUGUGUGUUUGUGUGUAAAGGAGAGAGAGAGAGAGAGGGUGGGGAGAGAGGUAGAGGCAGCAUGUGUGCGCGCGAGUGUGCCGUGUAAGAAUAAAAACGUCCUUUUAAGCCAACGGGAAUUAAAACUAAACUAUUCUAGUGUUUGUGUAAUUACUGAAAAGAAUAAAAGGAAACGUGUUUCUCGCCUGUUUUUCUAUUGAUUUUUUUUUAAAACGUAGCACUGAACACCUUCAGUGAUCUUCUGUCACAUCAGGAGAUCAAUACCUUUGAAUCGUCCGGAGACAUUACCAUAUUGGUUUGACACACCGGGAGAUGCCAAGGGAUGGAGCUAUUGUCGAUCCAUCAAUAUAUUCUCUGAGAUCCGGAUAGAAAACUCAAUUGAUGCUCAGGUUGAUUUUUUAAAAAAAAAAUGUAAACAAUUAUGCUGUCUUAUUUUAAGUUGGAAUAUGUCCCCUACAAACAGCUUUUUCUUUUCUUUUUUUUACUCCCCCCUCUUAAAGUUCAGUCGGGCUUCCAUCUUGCUUUUGACCUAUGCGUCGGCGCCCUCAUGGGGUUGCAGAGCUGACCCCUCUCUGCAUCGCCAGGAAUAACGCACAGAAACACGGCACCUAGCACAGAUAUUUUCCACCAAACAGUGCUGUCAGCUGGAAGCUUGUGGAGUGCGUCCCCUGCCUGGACGCCAUCAUCCUCCGACAAGCCGGCUAAGUCAUCCUAAGGCGCAAUGGCCAGCGCGUAAACGCGCACGGUUCAGGGGGCGAACAGACAUGGCAGCGACUGGAGGGAUGUGCAAAAGAAAGAAGAGAAUCCAAAAAGGAGGAGGGAGGCGUCUUUUGUUUUUUUAUUUUGUUUUUUUCCUGUGAUGUACAGUGACCCUGAAAGAUGCUAGUUGGCUUCAUUGCUGCAUUAGAAGGGUCCUUAAGAGGGCCCUUCAGUCUCCUCUCCCAGUAACAUCAUUAAACCGGGUGACCCGAGUUCAAGCAGCACAUAUCUGCGAACACCCAAGUGCCUGUGAGCAAAAGACUGUUCUCCAGGCUCUCCUGUGCUCAUGUGAUUCUGACCUCUGACCUGACUGAGUUAGAUGGCAAUAUGAAACCCGUUCUACGUACAGGGAGCCAGCUAUAGGAUUUAUUAUCAAAAACGCUAACAGCGCAGCAAUUUGCCUAAUGAAAAAGGCACCGUGCAAGAUGAAUAUUUCACAAUUUAUUCAAUAAAGAUAUCAAAAUA
This is a long non-coding RNA of Fundulus heteroclitus (mummichog), 3634 nucleotides long. RefSeq lists it as uncharacterized. The record is from RefSeq and is a predicted model, not a curated record. The transcript is spliced from 2 exons. NCBI's taxonomy places the organism in Eukaryota, Metazoa, Chordata, Actinopteri, Cyprinodontiformes, Fundulidae.